GACGAACGCUGGCGGCGUGCUUAACACAUGCAAGUCGAACGGAAAGGCCCUGCUUUUGUGUGGUGCUCGAGUGGCGAACGGGUGAGUAACACGUGAGUAACCUGCCCUUGACUUUGGGAUAACUUCAGGAAACUGGGGCUAAUACCGGAUAGGAGCUCCUGCUGCAUGGUGGGGGUUGGAAAGUUUCGGCGGUUGGGGAUGGACUCGCGGCUUAUCAGCUUGUUGGUGGGGUAGUGGCUUACCAAGGCUUUGACGGGUAGCCGGCCUGAGAGGGUGACCGGCCACAUUGGGACUGAGAUACGGCCCAGACUCCUACGGGAGGCAGCAGUGGGGAAUAUUGCACAAUGGGCGGAAGCCUUAUGCAGCAACGCCGCGUGCGGGAUGACGGCCUUCGGGUUGUAAACCGCUUUCGCCUGUGACGAAGCGUGAGUGACGGUAAUGGGUAAAGAAGCACCGGCUAACUACGUG
This 468-nucleotide ribosomal RNA is filed under the name uncultured bacterium. RNAcentral describes it as "partial 16S ribosomal RNA". It matches the Rfam family "Bacterial small subunit ribosomal RNA", at positions 28 to 507 of the family's 1533-position model. The record is from RNAcentral.